RNAcentral lists this ribosomal RNA (465 nucleotides) under Vreelandella stevensii. RNAcentral describes it as "partial 16S ribosomal RNA". It matches the Rfam family "Bacterial small subunit ribosomal RNA", at positions 338 to 795 of the family's 1533-position model. The record is from RNAcentral. Lineage: Bacteria; Pseudomonadati; Pseudomonadota; Gammaproteobacteria; Oceanospirillales; Halomonadaceae.
CCUACGGGAGGCUGCAGUGGGGAAUAUUGGACAAUGGGCGAAAGCCUGAUCCAGCCAUGCCGCGUGUGUGAAGAAGGCCUUCGGGUUGUAAAGCACUUUCAGUGGGGAAGAAAGCCUUGGGGCUAAUACCCUCGAGGAAGGACAUCACCCACAGAAGAAGCACCGGCUAACUCCGUGCCAGCAGCCGCGGUAAUACGGAGGGUGCGAGCGUUAAUCGGAAUUACUGGGCGUAAAGCGCGCGUAGGCGGUCUGAUAAGCCGGUUGUGAAAGCCCCGGGCUCAACCUGGGAACGGCAUCCGGAACUGGCAGGCUAGAGUGCAGGAGAGGAAGGUAGAAUUCCCGGUGUAGCGGUGAAAUGCGUAGAGAUCGGGAGGAAUACCAGUGGCGAAGGCGGUCUUCUGGACUGACACUGACGCUGAGGUGCGAAAGCGUGGGUAGCAAACAGGAUUAGAUACCCGGGUAGUC